AUGGAUUCCGCGAGAAGUUGGUUCCAGAAGUUCCAGCCGCGGGACAAGUCCAAGAGCCCGGCGGUGCCUGCCAGCCAUGGGAAGGAUCCUGGGAAGCCCCCAGUCGACGACGCGCCUUCUAGCGCGACCAAGCAGAAGGUCGCCGCGGCAAAACAGUACAUUGAGAACCACUACAAGACUCAGAUGAAGUCCUUGCAAGAUAGGAAAGAGAGGCGCUGGAUGCUGGAGAGGAAAUUACAGGAUGCUGAAGUUCCUGCAGAAGAGCAGAACAACAUUCUAAAACAUUUGGAGAAAAAGGAGACUGAAUAUAUGCGUUUGCAAAGACACAAGAUGGGGGUUGAAGAUUUUGAACUUUUGACAAUUAUUGGAAGAGGUGCAUUUGGAGAGGUGCGUCUUUGUAGAGAGAAGACCUCUAAAAGUGUAUAUGCAAUGAAAAAGCUUAAGAAAUCUGAAAUGCUUCGUAGGGGCCAGGUGGAACACGUCAAAGCCGAAAGAAACCUUCUUGCAGAAGUCGAUAGUGCGUACAUAGUAAAGCUUUACUAUUCUUUUCAAGAUGAUGAGUUCUUGUAUCUCAUCAUGGAGUACCUUCCUGGUGGUGACAUGAUGACUUUGCUCAUGCGCAAGGACACUCUGACAGAAGAUGAAGCCAAAUUUUACAUCGCUGAAACUGUACUAGCAAUAGAGUCCAUUCACAAGCACAAUUACAUUCACAGGGAUAUCAAGCCAGAUAAUUUAUUGUUAGAUCUCAGUGGUCACUUGAAGCUUUCUGACUUUGGAUUGUGCAAACCUUUGGAUAGCAGUAAUUUUCCAAAUUUGAACGAACCGGACUAUACACCUGGAAAAGGUGCUAAACCUUUACCCGAUAACACCAGUCGAUUAACUAACUCUUCUGCACCGAAGCGUACGCAGCAGGAGCAGCUGUCACAUUGGCAAAAGAACCGUCGGAUGUUGGCGUAUUCUACAGUUGGUACUCCUGAUUACAUUGCUCCAGAGGUUCUAUUGAAGAAAGGAUAUGGAAUGGAGUGUGACUGGUGGUCCCUUGGUGCUAUCAUGUAUGAAAUGCUAGUUGGUUAUCCCCCAUUUUAUUCGGAGGAUCCAAUGUCAACCUGCAGAAAGAUUGUGAACUGGAGAAGUCACCUGAAAUUUCCUGAAGAAGCAAAGCUUUCUUCUGAAACUAAGGAUCUCAUUAGCAAACUUCUCUGUAAUGUUGAGCAGAGACUUGGAACAAAAGGAGCCCAUGAAAUAAAAGCACAUACAUGGUUUAGAGGUGUCCAAUGGGAAAAGUUGUAUCAGAUGAAAGCUGCUUUCAUACCAGAAGUUAAUGGCGAGUUGGAUACUCAGAACUUUGAGAAAUUUGAGGAGACUGGAGCACAAGUUCAGAGUUCAUCUAAGGCGGGUCCAUGGAGAAAGAUGCUUCCAUCCAAGGAUGCAAAUUUUGUUGGAUACACCUACAAGAACUUUGAAAUUGUGAAUGACGAUGAAGUUGCCGGGAUUGCCGAGCUGAAGAAAAAGAGUUCCAAAUCAAAACGGCCAACCAUCAAGACAUUGUUUGAGAGCAUGGAUGAAGAUGAACCUGUGCACGGCAGUUUCUUAAAUAUGUUGCCCCAUAAGGAGGGACAACCUUCUUCUCACUCAAGCGCCCCACCAGAACAAUACCAACCUCGACGUAAAUAG
This 1674-nucleotide ribosomal RNA is filed under the name Triticum aestivum (bread wheat). RNAcentral describes it as "partial small subunit ribosomal RNA". The record is from RNAcentral. Lineage: Eukaryota; Viridiplantae; Streptophyta; Magnoliopsida; Poales; Poaceae.